Non-coding RNA from Chrysemys picta bellii (western painted turtle), 2072 nucleotides. Lineage: Eukaryota; Metazoa; Chordata; Testudines; Emydidae. The record is from RefSeq and is a predicted model, not a curated record.
CGCGGGGGCAGGGAUGGCAGGUGGAGGCUGGGACCCGCUCUAGGCAGGGACAGGGCGGGGGGGGGAGACCCCUGGGGGCUGGGGCCCGCUCCAGGCAGGGUCGGGGAAGAGACCCAGCUCCAAAUAUUGCUGGAGCUGGGCCCCCGGCCCUGAAUAUUGCUGGAGCUUGGACACCACAAAAGAAUAUAACCCGCCGCCUAUGUCCACGUGUCUUAAUUAUCCUGCCUGUCUUAAUUGGUUCUAGCAGGUUCCUGAUUACUCUAGUGCAGCCCCUGCUCUGGUCACUCAGGGAACAGAAAACUACUCAUCCAGUGACCAGUAUAUUUGCCCUCUACCAGACUCCUCUACUCCACUGGUCUGGGUCUGUCACAGUAUUUUGUUUAACUUUUAGACAAAUGAGAUAUAGAAAUUGGAAAACAAGAUAAAGAAAUAAGCAAACUACAUACAGAAAUUGACAAACGAGAUAAAGAAAUAAGCAAACAAGAUAACAAAAUAAUGAAUGUGACUCUGGAUCCUGACACGGCUCAUCCCCGACUUGUCAUGUCUGAGGAUCGGAAAAGUGUGAGAUGGGGAGACACACGGCAGGAUCUGCCCAACAACCCUGAGAGAUUUGACUUGGAUCCCUGUGUGCUGGGCUGUGAGGGAUUCACCUCGGGGAGACAUUGCUGGGAGGUGGUGGUGGGGGUUGGGCGAUUCUGGGCUGUGGGGGUGGCCAGAGAGUCUGUGAGGAGGAAGGGAGGGAUCAGCCUCAGCCCUGAUGAGGGGAUCUGGGCUGUGGAGCGGUGGAGGGAUCAGUUCCAGGCUCUCACCUCCCCUGAGAUCCCCCUGCCCCUGAGCCAGAUCCCCAGCAGGAUUCGGGUUUGUCUGGACUGUGACCAGGGGCAGGUGACAUUUAUCGAUGCUGGUGAUGAGGCCCCGAUCUUCACUUUCCCGCCAGGCUCUGUCCCUGGGGAGAGAAUCCGACCCUGGCUCUGGGUGGGGUGGGGAUCCCGGAUCAGACUGUGUCCCUGAGACUGGGGACCCUGAAAUUAGCAUCUCUAGCCUCACAUUCCCCAGUCUCUAUGACUCUGUGGGACUCCCAUCUACCCAGCCUCUGGGAUCUCAUCUCUAUGACCCCUGGAAGCUCCUCCCUCUCUCUGCAGCCCCAGGAAUGGGGGGAAGGGGGGCAGGGUGUGAAGAACCCUGGGGCUGCAGGAGGGGCAGAUGGGCCCUGAGGGAAGACCUAGGGGCUGGGCAGGGGGCAGAACUAACAGCCGGGCUGGGCACAGGCAGAUGUGGGGGUGGCAGGGACACAGAAUGAAUCAAUCAGGGUUUGGGGGGUUGGGGAGAAGCUGGAAGCUCCACAGCAGCAGGGAGCAUUUUGUACAGAUUGGUGGGAUUAGAUCUCAUUGGGGCUCCCAGCCAGAGCUCCUGCCACAGGGGCCCUAUCACCGUCCUCUGUAUCUAUGGGAGACCCAGUAACACUGUAAUUGUCACACACAUGCGGGAUGGGCAGGGAGAGUUAAAAAAUCAGAAGAUAAAGCAGGAUACCUUAUAUAUUGUUUUGAGCCUCAUGUUUUGGGGGGAGUCAAGUUCAUGAUUUUUGGUUCUGACUCAUGAUUUCUAAGUUUGAGUCAUGGGCCGGGCGGGGUGGGGGGUGGGGGGCGGGCUGGGUUGAACCAGAAGGAACAGAGGAAAAACAAGGAAAAAAUAAAGUAAAAGAAAACAGAGUCCUGGAGAAAGGGUGAAAAUUAAAUAUAAAAACAAUGAAAGGUAAACACUCUGAAGAGGGGAAAGAGCCAGAGGCAGUGAGAGGGGAAGGGAUAAACUUCGGGGAAAGAAUGGAGAACAUGAGGGGAAUGAUCUGUGAGAAGGAUCAGAGGAGAGUGGAAGACACAGAGAAAUAAACAGGGACGGGAAAUGAGUGCUAGAAAAAUGGUGAGUACAAAUAACCAGUGUGACAGAGAAGGGAAAAAAAGGGAUAGAGAAUUAUAAAAUGUCACUGAAGGUGCAACUGUCACUCAUUAAUUUCAUAUGUUACUUCCUUGACUUUGUUGCCAUUUUAGUUUCAUUAAAAAUAACUGUUCCCGAAA